Molecule: long non-coding RNA, 13397 nt
Filed under: Amborella trichopoda
Lineage: Eukaryota; Viridiplantae; Streptophyta; Magnoliopsida; Amborellales; Amborellaceae
Description: long non-coding RNA (ATRI_LNC004999)
Source: RNAcentral
CACACUCUCUCUUCCAAACUCCAUUUCUCUCCCCUGCAAAAGCCCUAUUUGUAUUUUUUCUCUCUAUCUUCCCACGCAAAACCCCAACUCUCUCUCUUCCCCUACAAAAGCCCAACUCUAUCUUUUCGCUCUCUCUCUCUUCCCUUGCGAUUGCGAUAGCUAAACUCUCUCUCUCCUUAUUUAUCUUAUCCUACGGCAUGCGAAACUCUACUUCUCUUCUAAGCUGGAUCUUUGAUCAGCGUAAUUUUUUUUCUUUUCCCAUACAUUCGUUUUUUUGCAUCUUGAUGCUUAGCGAAAAACUAGCAAAUAUGACAAAUUUUUAUUUGAUUUUUGUGCAGUCUUUCUUUACAUCUUGACGCUCGGUAGAAGAAGAGCAUAAAUGGUGAGUUUUUAUUUGAUUUUCGUGUUUUUGUUUUUUGCAUAUUGGUGCUCGGUAAAAAACCAAGCAAAAAUGGCAAGUUUUUAUUUGAUUUUGUCUAUUUUGUGUAUCUUGAUGCUCGGUGGAAGAUCAGCAAAAAUAGCAAGGUUUUAUUUGAUUUUCAUGCUUUAUUUUUUUGCAUAUUGAAGCUUGGUGGAAGAUCAACAAAAACAACUUUUUAUUUGAUUUUGGUACCUUUUUUUUUGGCAUUUUAAUGUGGUCUUUUUUAAGAACUUUCUCCUCAUGGACGAAGCUGCAUUAACGAAAUUUGAGGGAUUUUUACAGAAUUCUGCAUUAAAAGGGGAUGUAGGCAUUUUUGUCCACGGUACGGGUUUGGGUCAUGGGUUCUAAUCCAUAUCACGCGUACGGGUCUGGAACUCUUUGGACCCGUUGGGUAUGGGUCCAUAAGUGAUAUUUAGGGUUCUGAUCCAGCCAGACCCAACCCAUACCCGGCCCAUUGCCACCCUAGGUCCGGGUUCGGGUUCUGAUCCUGAUUCGUGAGGUACAACUGGGGCUAUUCCUAAGUUAGAUUAGAUUACAUUUGAUGAAUUUUUUAUUUUUAUGUUAGUUUUUCAAACGAAGAAAAAGAACUAGAGAGUCAGGCAAUCCAGGGUUCCCCGGACCGCAAUUUCUUAGAUCCCAAUCCCGUGCAUAACUUAGGUAAUUCCGAGUUGGCUCAGUGGUUCUUAAAUAAAUGAUUCCCUAGACAGCAGUUUGAUAAAAUUUUUAUUUUUAUGUUAUUUUCAUACGAAGAAAAUUAACUAGAAGAGUCAGGCAAUCCAUGGUUCUUCGGACCGCAAUUUUUUGGAUCCCAAUCUUGUGCACAACUCAGGCAAUUCCGAGUUGGCUUUGUGGUUCUUAAAUAAAUUAUUCUAAUUACUCUUUGGUGCGAAAGACCAAUGUGGACACAUGUUCCCCUACCUAGUCCCCAAAACACAUGGUUAGGGAGAUCUUUUUAUUUGCGAUAUCAUUUUUGAAUCACAUAGUGGAAACUUCAAAGACACAUGGUUAGGGAGAUCUUUUUAUUUGCGAUAUCAUUUUUGAAUCACAUAGUGGAAACUUCAAAGACAAAACAUAAAGGGUGAGGUUUACAUAAGCUUGCAACCUUGUACACUCAAAGAAAGGUAUGUUGACAUGUAUGGAUAUGAGGCUUUACGUGUUUUAGCCUACAUUUGUAAGAAAUUCAAUAUAUUUAACGGUUAUAUGGUCCAAUAUUCAUAUAAUCGUAAUUCCUUGUCCAACAGUUAUAUCCAUCUGAACGUAACGCUUCAUAAACCUGUUGGAGAUCAGGAACCUUUCGUUUUUUAUAGGCUUGUUUAUAGGCUUGUUGGAAAAAUACAAUGGCACCCCUUCUUUUUCUAUAAAAAUCCUAUAAAAGUGGGGCGUCUUUCCCUGUAAAGGGUGGCGUUUUUUACUUUUUAAAUUUGAAAGACAUACACACAGAAAAGGCCUCUUUCGCUGUAAAGAGUGGCGUUUUUUGCUUUUGAAAUUUGAAAGACGUACACACAGCGAAGGCAUCUUUCGCUGUAAAGAGUGGCGUUUUUAGCUUUUGAAAUAUGAAAGACGUACACAGCAAAGACGUUUUUUGCCAAAAGACGCACACAUUCUUUCAAGUUUCAAGUAACAACAAUGUGAAAGGGCCAGGAAUUGAGGCCUUAGCCUCUUGUAAAGAGGCCUCCACAUCUUACCAGCACGAUACUUAUCAAUUAUUAUUAUGAUUAGGCGUUUUAUUAUAUAUAAACUUAUUUAUUGCUCCAUAAUUUAUUUUUAUAUUUUUUUAUUGCUGAUAUUUGAAUACAAUUAAUACAUUUACUGCCUUAGUGUGAUAUAGAAAUUGAAUACUUGAUAUUUGUUCUUUUAUUGUAAGGGCUCAUACACCUUGAUAUUGCUCAUCUACCCUAAAUAAAUAAAAUAAAGGCGAAUUAUAUAUUAUCUUUGAUAAUUAUAGUGCUUACUUAUUGAUUUUGGAGAUUGCCUAUUUCAUAAAUUUUUUUAAGGCAUCAAUUAAUAGCUGACAUUAUUGAUGAAAUACUUGUAGCUCUCUCUGUUGAAGUAUUGACCACAUAUUAUUUUUGGUGCCUUGUUUAGCUUUUUUAGAACUUAGAAAGAAUUAAGUUUGCUCAUACAAAAUCUUAGUAAAUGGCCAGUAGAAUUAUAAUGGCUAAACACUCUAAAGUAGAAAAAUUGAAAUAUCUCAUCAUCCAAGAUAGAAUCAUAUAUGUACUAAAAGAUGAUCCACCAAUAGUUGCUGAUAAACUGACUGAAGAAGAAAAGAAAAAGUUAGAAAAAAUUUUAGAAGAUGACCUCAUAGCAAAAACAUCUAUGUUACCUUUUAUGCAAGAUAGCCUUAUUAAGGUUUUUGUAAGAAAAUGCUAGAGGCAAUAAAAACUAAAUAUGACUCAACAUCUGAAACAUACCUCCAAUUGCUAUUAGAGCAAUAUAAUUCAUUUAAGAUGAAGGAGGGUAAUAAUGUAGUGGAACAUAUUAACAAGAUACUCGUUAUGGCUAAGGACUUAGUCAUUACUGGGAAUGAAGCCUCCGAGCGCAUGCAAGUUUCCACUAUUUUAAAUAGUCUUCCACUUUCAUGGAGGAUGAUAACAAUUGUACUUAGAUUAAAUACAAAAUCUCUUACAGUAUGGGACCUACCUAUGCAACUAGCUUUAGAGCAAGAGCAUAUGAAUAAAGAUAAAAAGAGUGAACUCAUGCUUGCUCAAGGACCUCCUAAAUUUAGCCAACCUAAGCAAUAUAAACGGAAAUUUCAAAAAAAGUUUAAUAAGAGGAACAAUAGGUUAAAAAACAAAGGAUCUAAGCCCUACAACCAAUAAUCUAAAUAAGGACCGCCAAAAUGCUUUUUAUAUGGUCAGCCAAGACACUUCAAGAACCGCUGCUCAUAAAAUAGAAACUCGUAAAAUCCAAAGAAUAACGGGAAGGGAAGUAAGAGACAUGAAGUUGUUUGUAUGGUUUCUGAGUGCCUAAUGGCACAACACAACAUCAAAGGAUGGUGGGUGGACUCAGGCGCUAAUCGACAUAUCACAAGUUCAAAAGGCCUCUUCGAGGACUUUCAAGAGAUAAAAGCCGGAGAGAAACACAUCUACAUGGGGAACAACACCUAUUCUAAUGUAUUGGGUGUAGGAACUUGUAGCUUGUAUGUAGGGACAAUCGACAUUGUAUUAGCUGAUGUAUAUUUUGCCCCUUCUAUGAGUCGAAAUAUUGUAUCUGUCCCCUUGCUCAUUAGAAAUGGCUUUGAAGUCUGUUUUUGAUCAUUGAAAGUAUCAAUCGAAAAGCGUGGACAAAUUUAUGCUUUGGGACACUUAGUUGAUGACCACAACUUGUUCCUACUUCAUGUAAAUCAGAAAGCUAACAAUAAUAUUUCAUCUUAUUCUGGUUAUAUUGAUAGUGUAUGCUUUGAUGACGACAACUUGUUCCUACUUCAUGUAAAUUAGAAAGCUGAUGCAUGUGCUUGGUAUCUUAGGCUUGGUCACAUAAGAAAAGACAAAAUGAGUAGGUUAAUAAAUAAAUGUCUUAUUCUAAAUCUAAAUAAUCUAGAAUUUCCAACCUGUCAGCACUACUUAUCAAGAAAAAUGACUAGGCAAUCAGUCAAUAAAGGGGAGAGAGCUAAUGAGUUAUUGAAUGUGGUCCACUCAGACAUUUGUGGGCCCCUCAAUGUUAAAGCUCAUGGAAGAAUGUCAUACUUCAUCACUUUUAUUGACGAUUUUUUUAGAUUUGGAUACGUUUAUUUAAUUCACCAUAAAUCAGAAGCUUUAGAAAAACUUAAAAUAUAUAAAAGGGAAGUAGAAAAUCAAUUAGGUCGGAACAUCAAAGUUCUUAGAACUGACAGGGGAGGUGUAUCUAAAGCUUUCAUUACUUAUUACCAAAAACAUGGUAUUAAAAGACACACUACUAUGCCUUAUACGCUACAACAAAAUAGAAUAGCUGAAAGGCGUAACAGAACCCUCUUAGAAAUGACAAAAUGGAAUAGCUGAAAGGCAUAACAGAACCCUCUUAGAAAUGACUGGAUCCAUGAUGGCUCCUGCUAAUCUACCCAAGACCUUUUGGGGAGAAGCAAUAAGCACAUCCAUGUAUAUUCUUAAUAGGGUUCCAAUUAAGGCAAUAGAUUAUAUCUCUUAUGAACUGUGGACUGGUAGAAAACCUGAUUUAUCUAACUUAAAGAAGUGGGAGUCGAUUACACAUGUCCUGAUUCCAUAUCAGUACAAAAAUAAAUUAGAAAACAAAACUCUAGUGUGUAAUUUUAUAGGAUACCCUGAAGGAUAAAAGGGAUAUCGAUUUUAUCAUAAAGAUACGGGACUAAUUGAAAACAGAGACGCUAAGUUCUUAGAAGAUUUUAUUGAAGAAAACAUACAUGUAGUGGAUAAUGAUAAUCCACUUAAUAUCCUAAAUGACAUAGAACCACUACCUACACUGGAUAUGGAUAGAACCACUACCUACACUGGAUAUAGAUAGCCUUGAUCAACAUGAUGAUGUUGAAAUACACACACACCCAAUGUUAAGUGGUUAAAAUAGGUCUAGAGGUCAUCCAUCAUACCUUGAUGAUUUCUAUGUCUAUUUGAGUGAGGAGAUAGAUAACAUUUUUUAUCUAGAUGAAAUCCAUGACCCUUUUGUUCAUAUCGACUCUCCUUUGCCCCUUGGUUGAAGUCACAAGAAUCUCAUAAAUGGCUUAAUGCUAUGAAAGAAGAAUUGGAUUCUAUUGAGAAAAAUAAAGUUUGGGAUUUAUGUGAUUUACCAUUAGAUAAGAAACCUAUAGGUUCUAAAUAGGUACUUAAAAGAAAGUUAAAAUCUGAUGGAUUGCUUGAUAAAUUUAAAGCUAUGUUAGUAGCAAAGGGUUUUACCCAAAGAAAGGGAGUCGACUAUGUCGAUACUCACUCCCCAGUGACAACGUUCAUAUCCAUUAAAAUAAUUUUGGCAAUCAUUGUAUAUUAUGACGUCGAAUAAUUAUGAAGUAAAUAGAUUGGACCGUUGUGUGUAUGUCUUGAAGAGUGAGAAAUAGAUUUGACCAUUGUGUAUAUGUCUUGAAGAGUGAGAGUAAAUUCACAAUACUCUCAUUAUAUGUAGAUGGUAUCCUAAUAGCUAGACAUGACUUAGAAAUGAUUGAUAAGACUAAGCCAUGACUUUCUUCUCGGUUUGAGAUGAAGGAUAUGGGAGAAGCAUCUUUUGUCUUAAGCAUAAAAAUAAUUAGAGAUAAAAAAUAAAAAAUGUUGUGCAUGUUGUGCUUGAGCCAAGAGAGAUACCUUGACUAUGUUCUCAAAAGAUUUAAAAUGUAAAAUUGUAAGUCAUUGUCUACUCCUGUUGAAAAGGGAGUAAAUAUGUCUAGGAAGGAUUGUCUAAUAGAAGGACAAAAAAAGCCUAAUGUUUCCUAUGCAUAAGCUAUUGGUAGCCUGAUAUAUGCAGUAAGAUGUACAAGGCUAGAUUUGAGUUAUGCCAUAGGACUUGUUUGUAAAUAUCAAAGUAAUCCAAAUAUAGCUCAUUGAAAAGCAGUAAAAAGAAUUUUAAGGGAUAUUAAGGGAACAAAGUAUCUAAAAUUGUGCUUUCAAGCAGAGAAGCUUGAAGUUAUAGGAUAUUCAGAUGCAGAUUUUGCUGGGGAUAAGGACAAUAAUAAGUCCACCUCAAGACAUAUUUUUCUCUUUGGAGAGGCUGUUGUUUCUUGGUCUAGUAAGAAACAAAGGUGUGUAGUUAGGUACACACAGGAAGCAGAAUACAUUGUAUGUAGCACUGCUUGUACUUUUGCCGUCUGGAUAAAGCGCUUCAUAGAUAACUUGAAGCUACAAAUAAUUAACGAACCGAUCCAGAUAUUUUGUGAUAAUCAAGCCGCAAUUAAAUUAAUUCGAAGUGGAGCAAAUAACUCCAAAAGAAGACAUAUAGAUAUCCAAUAUCACUACAUUCAUGAUGUAGUUGAGAAAGGUGAAGUAACUGUUAGUUAUUUGCCCUCAUCAGAUAUGAUCGUUGAUCCAUUAACAAAGGGUCUAAGUGUUGAACUACUGUCUAAGCACACUAGCUUAAUGGGACUUAAAAAUAUUUAAGUCAAACAGUUUUCAUGAGUGAGAAAUCCGCAUUAGCGUGAAAAUCCUCCUGAUAGACUAGUUAAUGGGACUUAAAAAUAUUUAAGUCAGACAUAAGUCCGACAGUUUUAUGAGUGAGAAAUCUGCAUUAGUGUGAAAAUCCUUAUGAUAGACUAGCUUAAUGAGACUUAAAAUGUUUAAGUCAGACAGUUUUCAUGAGCGACAAAUCCACAUUAGUGUGAAAGUCUUCAUGAUAGUUGUUUAUUAUGAGAGGCAUAUCCACAAAAGCGUGAAAAAAAAAAAACUAAAUAAAUAAAUAAAAUUUGAUGACUAGAUAUUUUUUUAAAAGUCAUACUCAAAAGUAGGAGUAUACCUCAUGACAAUAUAUUUUCUUAAAGGUUAUACUCAAUAGUGGGAGUAUGCAUGUGAUUUAUUAUGCUCGGCCGUCAUAGCCAAGUGGGAGAUGUUGAUAUGUAUGACUAUGACGCCUUACAUGUCUUAGCCUACAUUUGUGGGAAAUUCAAUAUAUUCAACGGUUAUAUGGUCUAACGUCCAUAUGAUCGUAACCCCUUGUCCAAUGGUCAUAUCUAUAUGAACGUAACCCUUCAGAAACCCGUUGGAGAUCAAGGAAUCUUUUCGUUUCUCAGAGACCCGUUGGAGAAAUACAACGGUACCCCUUCUUUCCUUAUAAAAAUGGGAAGCCAGAGAGAGGAUGUCUACGACAAUGAAAAUAUGUACAUCUCUCUAAAAGACGAAGGGAUAGAUAAAAAUCCGGGCUCUACGAUCACCAGCCUCACGACACCCCUUCCUUGAUCUCUGGUUGGUCUCGUGCUUUGUCACUUUUAGCUAACAAGGUACACCUCUAAACUUUGUUAAACAAUCUAUAAACACAUGAAAAUCUUAAAAAUAGACGAUCCAGAUAAUGUGUUACAAGAUGUAUUAUUUUUGGAACUUGAAAUUUUUUUUUUUCCAUAUCCAUCCAUCUCCAUGUUAAGAUGAUCAAUUAGAUAGUUUUCCAAUGUCUUUUCAGAUGGAUUUUUUAUUUGCACUUUAAUUCUCAAUUUACGGUAUCAACCUUACAUAAACGUUUUUCAAAAGGAAAAUACUCCUCAGAACCUUAGAUUUAAUUGUUCCUCAAAUGGAUGGCACUGAUGUGGAGGAAUUGAUUUGCGACAUUUUCUAAGCUCUAGAUAACUUAAUUCUUGAGUAAUAUUUAGAGAUGAGUAAAAAUAAAUUGAAAUUUGUUAGACUGAAUAUAUUUCCUUAUUUAUCUUAGGAAGUAUAGUAUCUAUAUUGUGUGAACCCCGAAAUGGUGCAUAAGCAUCCUCUCAAUGCUCUAGAUUAGAAGGAAUAAACUGGAUGGCAUAAUUGUAUAAUAUAUUUUAAGGGAAAAUAACGUAAAUAUAUGUUUUAGUUUCUGCUAUUACAAAAAUACUAAAUACUUUUCGUUAUUACUGAUAUGUCCGUUGUUUGGACUUCAUAACAAAUUUUUUUAAAAAAAUUCGGUAUUUCAAAUUCGAAAUCAGGCCAAUUUUGGUUUUUUAAAAACCGAAAGUUUAAAAUUUUCGGUUCUUCAAUACCUGAAUUUUCUCUCUCUCUCUCUCUCUCUUGUGGGUCCUCUGCCUAUUCUCUCUCUAUCACUCUCUCUUUACAUUACAUGCGGAUUUCGAUCAAGGCCCGAAGACAAUGAGAACAUGGAAGAUUCAAUGUCAUAGCUUCCAUCUCUCUCUCUAGACCAUUAUUGGACUCUUGGAUUAAAGAGAGGAAGAUUUAUCCCUGUCGCUCAACCCCCUAUCUCUUCCUAAAGAAUAAGAUUGCACCUGUCUCUCUCUAAAACUCCACAUUGUAAACGUAAAGACGAGACUUUUGGUUGUACUCUUAAAAAAUGUUCAUAUAUUGAAGGUUUCUCUCUCCACUUCUUACCCCUUUUUUUUCUUCUCCUUUCGAAGAGGUUUUUCUAUGCUUUGAUGAUUUCUAAGCUAUUUCUUUUGAAAACAAAAGUUAUUGAUUUCAAAUUCGAGACUUCUCGAGAAACAGAAAGAUUUUGCUAGGAUUCCUUUUUCUUUAUUUCUGUAUUCAUCCUUUGUAGUGGCGAGUUUUCCUUUGUAGUGGUGGUUUUUCUUGCUGAGUGAUUCUUUGGCCACCAAUCAAAUUUUAGAGGGAUGGUAAUGGGUUUUGUAGAAAAAUUACAAGAAUUACUAAAUUGAAUAUAUAUAUGACAGUGCCCUUACUUUUUUAUAUCCUUUAGGGUUUGAGCAGAGAGAGAAAGAGAGAGGGAGUAGGGGAGAUUAGAAAAUUGCAUAAUUUUGAUGGGAUGAGAGAGAGAGGAGAGCAUAAAAUUUGAGCGUGAUGAGCAAAGGAGCGUCGAACUUUCAAAGUUUCUGAAAUAUCUGGUUACCUGCGAGGGUAAUCGGUGAAUACUUUCAACCAAAUACAGAUAAGAAUCUGGAUCGCUGCUACCAAUUGCAGGAAUGACUGAAAAUGAGUAGAGAUCGUAUCUGUGAUGCAGUAAAAAGUAAGGGAAGUUUAAAAUCCUUGUGUAAUGGAGAUAGAGGUAGAAAGAGAAUACACAGAGCACCCACAAGAGAGAAAAUUUUCGGUUAUUCAAUAACCGAAAAUUUCAAAUUUUUGGUUUUUAAAAACCAAAAUGGGUAGUUUCAUCUUUUUUUAAAAAAAUUGUUAGGAAGUUUAAAAAAAUAGAUAUAACGAAAAGUAUUCAGUAAUAACGGAAACUAAAAUGGAUAUUUACGUAAUUUUCUCAUAUUUUAAUUUUAUUUUCUAAGAUAUUUGAUUAACUUCUAAAUUUGAGCAUCCACACUUCUCAAGUAGGUUCGCGUAAAAAAAUAUUUUAUAUGAAAGAAAGACUAAUGUGAUCUUGUAGGGGAAUACAUUUUUUUAUUUUCUUCUUUUCACCAAUUUUCUUUUCUUUUUAUAAAGAUCACUUACAAGUCUUAUUACAAUAAUUCUUGCUUCAAAGGAAAUAAAACUAUCAAAUUCAAGACCUUAAAAACCUUGAUGCCAUUAAACUAAUUUUCUUUAAAUAAAGAAAAUAUCCACAAUUCUAAUGAUUGAGAAUAUAAAUACGAUAUAAUUAAAUAUGACAAGAAUCAAAAGAGGGUGUCAGAUAUUACUUCAACCGGGCUUAUUAUACCCCACUCCAAGUCACCACCAUCUGAUGGUGUGGAAUCAAGUAUUAACCUUCAAUCUCAAUCGAGAAAACAAAUUUAUUUCAAGCCACACCAAUAGAGUAUCAACCCCUUGGAACACAAACUCAAACUCUAGGUGAAUUCCCUUCGCAACGUAGUUUGAGAGAGAUGAAUUCUCUUUUUGCUAACCCUAAAACCCUAAUGUGGGAGAAAGAGAUCAAAGAUGAGAGAGUGGGGCGUACCGCCUUUAGAUUUCAUGAGAGAGAGAAACUUUCUUGAGAGUGGGGCAUACCCCCUUAGCUUUCAUGAGAGAGAGAAAUUAUGAGUGGGGCGUGCCCCUUGUGGGAUAUGAGAGAGAAAUAUGGAAUUACAAGAGAUAAGAUGUAGAGAUUUUUUAGAAGAGACAAUAUCUUUUUAUAAGCUUUGAACUAGAUUAAGAUUUUUUAGGGUUUUCCUUUGCUUGCUUCUUCUUGUGAGAUUGAAUAUGAACCAUUGAUCUUGAGUGACUUAUGGGGUGAGAGAUUUGAGCCACCCAAUCCAUAGAUGGGCCAUCAACACUAUGAAAGGCGCAAGAACAAUUAUCCCCUUUUCCUAAAUUUUUUUCCAUCAAUAGAAAUUAAAUAAAUUAAAUCUAAUCAAAAUAUUGUGCAUACCAUAAAAUAGCAUAAGUCUACUCAAUUUUUCAACAAAAUCAUUCAAUGAUAUACCAACUCAAUAUUUAGUCAAUAUAUUCCAACUAUAUGGCCACAUAGCAUAUCACUAAAAAAUAAGAAAGAGAAUAAGGGUGGGGUGUGCCACUCAAGGGAGGCACUCAUGGGCCCCACCUUCUAGAAAUAUUUUGGGUCCAUGUGCACAAUGGGCUGCCAUGAUAUUUUUAUAUUUUUAAAAUUAAUAAAAAAAAUUAGAAUAUUAUUUGAAUAUUUAAACCAUUGUAAAAUCAAUAUAUUUAAUUUUAUAAAUCCAAAAAUUAUAAAUAAAAUAUCUAGUGGUUCGUAAAAAUUUACAUAAUAAUUCUAAAAUAAUUUAUAUCAUAAAACAAAUACAAUUAAAUUAAUUUGAUGGAAAAAUGAUCCAUAUGAUUUAGGAAUUGAAUCAAUAAUCAUGGGACACUCCACUUUCAACUGUGGACUAUAGAUCACACUUGCUUUAUCAUAUAGACCUAGUAUUUUUCAUGACGCACAGUCCAAGCAGCGGUUCAUUAGUGGGUCACCAAAGUCUAGCUGAUGAGCCAAUAUGUUGCAAUCUCAGUCUGUGGAUUACAGGUCCUCCCCUAGAGACGAGUCAAUGUCACCUCGACAUGAUACGACCACAACUUUAUGGUGGAUAAGGGUAAUCUCUCUCAUACAUGCAUACGCUUCACCCUAAAUGUGGCUUCUUUGCUUUUCCAAACGAUCUAUUAAUAUGCAUACCGUGUAAUGAUACAUGGAUGAGGCUUUGGCCCCGUCUCUGUAGGCCACCAUCACUCGCAAGGGUCACACAGUCCCUCGGCUCACUCAUCUAGUCAUAUGCUCCAACCUUAUCAAGGGAUGAUCUAUUAGAAUCCUUCUUGGUUUGUUCUCUAUGCCCAGGUAAUAUAGGUUUUUCCCAACUGAUUGGCCUAGAUCGUUAAGUACAUCACAGUAUCUACAAACAUCGUUUACAUAGUAUGGUCCACGAGGGACCACACUCCCACUGAGUUCAUGUUCCACUAUACUAUUUCAUUUUACAAUAACUCAUAAGGCCUUUAAAGGCCACUUAAACCCAACAUAAAAUACUACAUAAACAUUCAAUGGCAUUUUGUUCUUUCCAGGUGCACCUAGAGUGGCCCACGCAUUUGCAAAAUUUCUAGUACAUACAAUUGGUCAGAAGAAAAACUGAAAAAGAAAACAAUGAAUAUAAUCGCCAUCAAUUUUCUUCUCUUGUUCUUAUACCAUCGCUUUAUAUUUUGAGAAAGUUUCUAUACUUUCCCUGUUGUAUAUUCUUAUACCAUUGCUUUAUGUUUUGAGAAAGUUUCUAUACUUUCCCUAUUGUAUAUUCUUAUACCAUCUCUUUAUAUUUUGAGAAAGUUUCUAUACUUUCCCUACUGUAUAGAAGUUAUAUACUUCCCGCCAUCUAAUCAUCUAAUUUAGAUCAAAUAAGCCACUGACGGUUUGAUAUAGAUUCGAUGCCACAAAGUAUUUUAUUCUACAAAUUAUAUGAAUAUGAAAUUUAGUGCGUACCAUCAUCUCAAUAGGGUGCACCUGAAAACAAUAUAAAAAAGGAUUUCCAAUAAAAUAAAAUGACCAAAACCCCUGAAACUUUCAUGAGUAUUUUGAUAUUUUUAUUUUAUCGAGAAUAUUUUUUAUAUUUUUUUAAAUUUUAUAAAAAAAUUAAAAAUUAAAUAGUGUAAAGGUGUAACAUUGUAAUUGGAUCCAUCUUAGCCGUUCAUUCAGAUUUGAUAGCUAGAUAAGGAGAAGUAUGAGACUACUAUAUAUUAGGGGAAGUAUACAAAAGCUUGCUCUUAUUUUUUAAGUGUAGAGAAUGGCAUGGGGACUUAACAGUAGUAUUAUUGAGUGCCAUGAUGAUGAAAUAUCUAAAUCUAUUCUCACUAUUGGGUAGGCCCAAAUCCCUACUAACUUGCCACUUUUUUUAGUCACCCUUUUUUUUUGAGGGGGGGACUGCAUAUUAAUGGUAAUCCCGGCCCCCAGUCCUUUUCCUUAUUCUUUUAAGAACGUUGCCUACCUAAAUAUAUUUAUGGAAGAGGGGAGUGAACGUGUGCCCCAUUUCUUUUCUCUUGUUCUAAGUGGCACAUUCCCAAGUCACAUGGUAUGCGCCUCAUGAUCCUAUACUACAGGGUGUCUAGGAAUAAUUAAGGGAUGGACUUUUUUAAGCCUAGGCUUUACGAAAAAGUAUUUUGGUCAUUGAAAAUCUCCAUAAUAUCUCUAAAAUCAAUGUCGAACACUGACCAUGAAAUUUGAUGUUAAAAAAAUGGUACAGAUCCGGCAUAUCCCUGAAGAUUUAUUUUUAAGGUGAAAUGAGCAAUCUAGAUAAUGUAUUACAAUGUAUUUUAUUUUUAGAGCUUGAAAUCUAAUUUUUUCUAUAACGAUAGUUGUUAAGGUCAAAAUGAUUGAAAUUUUUUCAAUGCCAGAACUAAAGGGCCGUAACCUGGUGCGGGUCAUGCCUAAGUAGAGUCCAGGGAGGGUGGGCUUGAAAUGGUCCUAACCUUUGGCUUAUGUACGAAGUGGCCGCUCUCAACACUUGAACUUGUGUUUUUGCGCUGGUUAACCGAGCCUUUUACCAUCACACCAAGUGACGAGCCUUUUACCAUGAAAUUUUUCGAUGCAAGAACUACAAUUUUGAAUGAGUUUUGAGGUGAGGCUUCACUUAUUCUAAUAGAGUUGUAGCCCUAUCAAAACAUUUUUCACAUCUAAAAAAAUGAUUUGGUUUCAUGAACAAUUACAAAAAAAAAAAAAGUUGUAAAAAAGUGUUGAAAUCUACAAAAUUACAAAUCAAAUAUAGAUGGCUAAGCAGCUACAGUCCCUCAAAAUUUUAAACCAACCAAAAUUACAAAUACAUAUUUCUGUCUACAUAUCAAACAAUGCUACCUCAGCUGCUACAAUCACUUAAAAAUAAGCCAAGAUUGAAAACUAGAGUCCGAAAUUAACUUUUAAAAAAAAAUAAUCCCAAGUAUAAAUUUUUGGAUUGUUCAGUGGGAUUUAAACUUGGGACAUAGUGUUACAAUAUCCUAAUAUCCAAAAAUAUACGGUGUGCAGAGGCAGGUCAGAGCUUCACACUGUGCUUACAGUUCUGAUCCCGAACCGCCAUGUCUGAGAUCGAGAUGUCAAUGUCGCAGCUCAUCUC